Molecule: ribosomal RNA, 2883 nt
Filed under: Triticum aestivum (bread wheat)
Lineage: Eukaryota; Viridiplantae; Streptophyta; Magnoliopsida; Poales; Poaceae
Description: partial small subunit ribosomal RNA
Source: RNAcentral
GGGUAUAAUAUCGUGUACUUCCACCAUAGGGCGGGGUGUCACUUUUUAUAGUUCAAUGUAAGGCCUACUUGGCGUUAGUUUACCUUCAGGUGUAAUUCCGGUUCUUGUACGCAAGGAGGCCUAUUUAUACUUCAAAGUUGCGAUACGAAGUUAUAGGUAAGAAACGACAGUAUCAGGAGCUCUUGUACUUGACGAUCAGCUUGGUGUGCCGGUAGAAGUAGAACUACUUUUAACCGUAUUACGUCCGCUGGGACACUGACGACUUAUACUGGCGGUAGAUCUUAUGCCGGACCAGCUUCGGGUAUGCUCGCCGCGGGUGGAGCGGGCGGACCGGCCUCAGGCCGUUCUGCUGGGUGAAGAGGCACCGCCCCAACGUGUGCUGCAUUGCCCUGAGCAGCGGUGCCCGUCUCUGCACCAUGGUCGCCGUCUCCUCCUCCGGCAACGUCGUCAGGACCUCCAGCUGCGCGGCCACCGACCCCUCCUUGCGGUUUCUCCACGCCUGGUCUCCCGCCGCCGACGGGGGCUGCGACCACUUGACCUGUCCACUGAGGUCCUUCGUGAGGGGCGGCCACGACGACAUCUUCUUCGGCCUGUCGCAGACCCCCUCGGAGGACGCCACCGACGCCACCUUCCACUCCGAGUCGGUCACGGACCUCUGCGUGAACUUCGCCCGCUCGCUAAACCGCCCGUGCGCGCGCUCCUAGAGGUGCUCCUCCAGCAGGCACUCGGAGCGCCGGCGGUACGGGUACAGGGGGAACCCGUACCUGUACCACGGCCUUCCCCUGCCGCCACCGCCACCGCGGCAGCUCAAGCUCGCUCCCUCUUCCCCUUGCCUUGGAAGGGAGGGAGGAAGGCGCAAAGCCUACCGGUGCUGAACUGGGCGAGUAUACAGGCAAACAAAGACGGGGGGCUUUUGGUCUAGGGGGGCUUUCUCGACGGGUGGAUGGGUCUCAGGGUCUGCCGGUCUCGCCUAGGCCUCCGCAGUGGCUGGGCGGGCUGCGGUUGCUGGACCGAAGGGGGUCAGGUCGGUGGCUGUCUAAACUUUCCGACUCCAAUGGGAAACAACCUUUUCCGAAACGGUAUCUCGACCCUGUACCUGUACCGUAACGGCUAACACUUACGGUGGUGCCGUCGCGAACGAGCACAGAGUCGACGUAAGUUGCGAGGAGAACGGGCACGACAGCAGAAGCCCCAAGUAUAGCUACCAGUGAACCAACACCUUCCUGAAGAAUAACGGCAGUAUCACAAAGUCGAAAGGUCCUUCUCGAUGUUUGGAGGUUUCUUCGGUGAAUCGCUUUUCCUCCAACUACUCGAUACACUACUUACCCUUGGUCUUGGAAAUACAGGGGGUUAGUUCCUCCUCAGGGUGUAACUGGGUGGUUAGAACCUUUCACGACGACCUGGUGUGUGCUGGUAACUCCCCUUUCUUCAACAUUUGAAACGUAGUCGCUUGAUGGAACCAAAUUAACCGUUGCUCUUUUAAUAACUAAGAACACAACCAAGUAACCUCUUUAUACCACAACCUAGGACACCAGGUGCACCGAAGAUACCUUGUUAACUACAGGUGGAACUGACACUUCGUUUUUAUCGGUUAAAGGACCCUUGUGGCCUGAGGUAAGACAUAAGUAUACCCUAUAGCUGGUAUAAGUCACAAUAUGGACGUAAAACAUUCUUUCCUCUAUAGUAUCACCGACUACUCCCACAAGUGACCCGUCACGUUUUACCAGAGAUAGAUAGCUCUUCAUGGCAACAAAUAAAGUUCGUAUUACUAUACCGAAGUGAGCGAUCGUGAAACCUUUUUGAAUGAGCACCUUUGUUUGCCUGGCUCUUCUAAUCUGCGAUGUAACAACACCUUAGAUAGAUGGUCUUAAGACCAGUUUAGCGGGGGAACCUACUCUAUCAGUUUAACUUCCUCUUCAUAGACAAGGCACAAUAAGACCUCCUCAGAGUAAGCAAACCACACGAGCCGUUCAGACCCGCCCCGGAACGGCUUGUAAUACCACAUGGCUAACUGUUUUAACUAUAGUAGUGACGACCUUACCCUUUACGUAAUCGAUGACUACCACCCAAGACAUGUCCUUCACGAUCUCAACAACUAGUAGUCGCAGAUUCGUCGCGACCGAUACAAAAGAGACGGAGAGACGGUGGGAUAGAACGGUCACGGCGUCAAAGACGACAUUUGAUGGACCUCCUCUUAGGAAGUCAAGAGCGAUUGGAUUCCUCGUUACAACGCGAAGACGUACGUCCUGACAGUCUACGUGGUCCUGAACUCUAAAGAUCGGUACGGGACAGUGGCUAGCAGAAGGAAUUCGACUUCUUUAGCUGACCAAGAGACCGGUGACUGGAUCUAGAAGAACUUUGGUAACGGCUCGUCCAAAACUUCCUUCUAAGGCAAAAGUAACACCGCAGCUUCUCCAGUUGAGACCUGUCUACGUUCGAGGGGCAGCCUUAGGCCGACAAGCAAAGUCGACCAGUGUGACUUAGACUGUAGAGGUUUCACACAAGUAGGAACUUCUCCUAAAGACGCAGCCAAGAAAGUCUAGUGCAAACUGGGACCAAAGGGAAGGUUUAUACUGUUCCCGAACCACCAAAAACUGCGGCACACAUGAGAUUUCCGACUAAUGCACAAACCAUUUACAUGUAUUGUCAAUACAUGUAAAGACCUAAAGUACUCAAGGUAUACAACAACAGCGGGUAUGGACGAUCACUUUUAAAACAUUUGCGACACCAAUCUCUACUACUCAACACGACAUGUAAACUGAUUAAAGGUACAACAUUUGAUCCGUAUAUACAGAAGUCAUAGGAGCCGUACGGACAACAUCGUACGUGAGAGACGUAGAAAGGACCCAUGGACUUAUGUGUAUGUCUGUUGGUAGUAAAAAG